This 497-nucleotide ribosomal RNA is filed under the name uncultured bacterium. RNAcentral describes it as "partial 16S ribosomal RNA". It matches the Rfam family "Bacterial small subunit ribosomal RNA", at positions 28 to 507 of the family's 1533-position model. The record is from RNAcentral.
GAUGAACGCUGGCGGCGUGCCUAAUACAUGCAAGUCGAGCGAACAGACGAGGAGCUUGCUCCUCUGACGUUAGCGGCGGACGGGUGAGUAGCACGUGGAUAACCUACCUAUAAGACUGGGAUAACUUCGGGAAACCGGAGCUAAUACCGGAUAAUAUAUUGAACCGCAUGGUUCAAUAGUGAAAGACGGUUUUGCUGUCACUUAUAGAUGGAUCCGCGCCGCAUUAGCUAGUUGGUAAGGUAACGGCUUACCAAGGCAACGAUGCGUAGCCGACCUGAGAGAGUGAUCGGCCACACUGGAACUGAGACACGGUCCAGACUCCUACGGGAGGCAGCAGUAGGGAAUCUUCCGCAAUGGGCGAAAGCUUGACGGAGCAACGCCGCGUGAGUGAUGAAGGUCUUCGGAUCGUAAAACUCUGUUAUUAGGGAAGAACAAAUGUGUAAGUAACUAUGCACGUCUUGACGGUACCUAAUCAGAAAGCCACGGCUAACUACGUG